AAAGCGAAUAGUGAAAUAUGAUGGCUCAACCAUCAGAACAUUAUUCGAACUCACAGACUCGAGAAUGGUAGAGGUAGCUGGAAUUUCUAGUGUAGGGGUAAUAUCCGUAGAUAUUAGAAGGAACACCAAUGGCGUAGGCAGGCUACUGGACCAUUUCUGACGCUGAGGCACGAAAGCGUGGGGAGCGAACCGGAUUAGAUACCCGGGUAGUCCACGCCGUAAACGAUGGAUGCUA
RNAcentral lists this ribosomal RNA (235 nucleotides) under uncultured Candidatus Saccharibacteria bacterium. Its description in RNAcentral is "partial 16S ribosomal RNA". It matches the Rfam family "Bacterial small subunit ribosomal RNA", at positions 584 to 818 of the family's 1533-position model. The record is from RNAcentral. Lineage: Bacteria; Candidatus Saccharimonadota.